Columba livia (rock pigeon) is the source of this 7114-nucleotide RNA transcript. It is a transcript of the gene named zinc and ring finger 2, with no coding region annotated. The record is from RefSeq and is a predicted model, not a curated record. Lineage: Eukaryota; Metazoa; Chordata; Aves; Columbiformes; Columbidae. The transcript has 6 exons.
CCCGCUGGUGCCGCCCCCAGUAUGGCGACACGGUAGAGGAGCGGCUGCGCUAGGGUGACCGCCCCCUCCCGCCUCCCUCGGCACAGGCACGGCGCGCCGCGGGCGAGCGAGCGGCCUCGGCGGCGCUGCUGCCGCCGUUGCCCCCCACACAGCUCAGCAGCAGUGAAGGAGGAUGGCGGCGGCGGCGGGCACAGCGGCAGCAGGCACAACAGCAGCAGCGGCGGCGGGGCCGAGUGGCCGCACGGCGGGAGCCAGCACCGUCCCGAGCAGCUCAUGGUGGCGCCCCAGACCCGCGAGCAGCGGCCGCGCCGGGGCCGCCAGCUGAGUCGGAUCUCGGCAGGCGGCUCUCCCCUCUCGACACCGACCCACCGAGCGACCUGUUUCCCUCCCUCGGCGCACCCUCUUCUCUCUCCCCGGCGCGACCCGCGCCUCGGAUCGCCCCCGCUUUGGCCGGACUCCCGCCACCCUCGGGCGCCGCGGGGAAGGCGGCGGCGAAGGGCACCGGGCAGCGCCAGGCGGCAGCGGGACCAUGGGUGCGAAGCAGAGCAGCCCCACCGCCGCCAAUGGCCGCACCCGGGCGUACUCGGGCGGGGAUUUACCUUCCUCCAGCAGCAGCAGCAGCGGCGGCGCUAACGGGACUGGCGGGCGCUCGGCAGGCGCUGGCGGGCGGUACGCGCACCUGGCGGCGGCGCCUCAUGCCGCUCCCGGCGGCGCGACGGCCACAGGAGGAGCGGCGGCGGCGGCGGCGAGUGCCGCGGGGUCGGCACCCCGGAGCAGGUCCUUAGGGGGUGCGGGCGCCUCAGGGGCCCGGGCCGCGCAGUCCGCCUUCAACAUCCCACACAGCAGCGGCCCUUACGGCUCGCAGGACUCGGUGAACAGCACCCCGGAGGAGGGCGGCCGGGAGCGGCCCACGGGGGGCGACGGCGGCUCCUCCGGCGGGCCCCGGCUAGUGAUCGGCUCGCUGCCCGCUCACCUCUCGCCGCACCUGUUCGGAGGAUUCAAGUGCCCUGUAUGUUCAAAAUUUGUAUCUUCUGAUGAAAUGGAUUUACAUCUUGUGAUGUGUUUGACAAAGCCAAGGAUAACCUACAAUGGUAAGAAAGAAAGGAUGUGCUGGGUAAAGAUGCUGGGGAGUGUGCAAUAUGCCUGGAAGAGCUGCAGCAAGGAGAUACUAUAGCACGGCUGCCUUGCCUCUGCAUAUACCAUAAAGGCUGCAUAGAUGAAUGGUUUGAAGUAAAUAGAUCUUGCCCUGAGCAUCCAUCAGAUUAAGACAAGAUUCAUGUUUUUAGUUUGUGAAUUUGCUACUGUGUCUCAGAACUGCAAUAUUAAUCACUGCUUCCACUGAUCAGAAAACAUUGGAGAUUUGAGGUUCCCGUGCUGAACACAGCGUGCCUGGCUUGAGACUUACUGUUCUUUGUGGCUGAAAAAGGCAAAGAUGGACAGUGACACGGAAAAAGCGUUGCAGACACCGGUCACUUGCCAGCAGCGCUCGGUAUACCAAACACUCACGCAAAGAACACACAGGGAUCUUGAAAAUGCUGCACAUUCUGUAACAAUCGACUCCCCACAGACAUUACUGACACUAUUUUGUACCGAAGGCCAAAGUUCCUAAUUUCAGCCUAACUUGUGGUUCUGUGAAGAAGCGGGUUAUUGGACAGGUUUCCUGCUGCCUUGAGCGAAAGCGGAGACGUUCGAUACGUGCUAUCUGAGACCCUUGCAGGAGGAUGACCCUGGUUCGGAGCGGGGAACGUUUUCACCUUCUUGUUGGCUGAAGAAGAGUAAAUGGCAAACUAAAUAUAAUCUAACAGUGUGACCUUAAUUUACUGAAUUCACACCCUGUUUUACGUUCUUCACUUUUUUCAAGAACAGAAAACAUAAACUCCUCUGCAUAGGAAUACUGUAUUUCAAAAUUUUGUAACUAAAUCUUUGUCACAAUGCAGUCCAAAGAGUAAAACCAGGACAGGUAACUAAUUUAUAUUGAUGAAGCUAUAGGGAUUGUUGAAAUCUGCACAUUGUGUCGCUAUUUAAGUAACUAAAACUUCUCUUUUACUGCUCGUGAGUAAAAACAACAACAAAAAUGCAGCAAAGCAAAAUCUUACAGCUAUGCAACUUUUUUUUAAAUAGGAAAAAAAAAGAAGAAUUACCAAUUUUAAGUGCUGCCAGUUAAGGUAAUUUGUUUAACGGGUAUUUUUUUAAAAAUGUUUCAGGUAAUUAUUUUGUUGUACUAUUCUCAUCUCCAGGCUGCCUCCUGAGGUGUAAACGAAUAGCUGCAAAUGUGGGCACAGCAAGAGGUUUUUAUAGGCAUGGGUUGAGAUAACAUCGAGGUAGGAUUUGUGUUUCAUUUUUAAAACACGUGUAAGUUUGUGUUUCCUUGUUUGGAUUAUUUUUUUUUAGGUGGCAGGAUCUGUAAUACUUUGCAUCUAAAUCCUUGGUCUCUUCAUGUGGAGACCGGCAUUCGACGGUGGUUUUUGGUGCUUGUUGGUUUUGGUUGGUGGGGUUUUAAAAAUUUCUUUAAAUGCACCUGCAUUUGUUUAAUUUAUCAUUAUUUUGCUGUAUUAUAUUGAUAUAACCAGGGCUCCACGAACAAGGGAUGUCUCUGGUGGGGUACACCAGGUAAAACUGUGGAUAACUAUUAGUUCCCAUAAAAUAUCACAGUUUUAAAAAAACAAAGACGGGGGGCAGUGGGGGGAAAGCCAAACUGGAACAGAUAUCAGGGCUGAGAAGCAUACUUUUGCAUCAAGAAUUAAUCAUAGUAGUUUCUGCAUUUCACAGCACAGGGAAGAGUUUAUAAAUAUUUAUUACCAAUAGCAUUUUUAGUGAGUUUCAAUAGUUAAAAUAAAUUGCACAACACUUUGAACAUUUUUUUCUUGUAUAUCCGUAAUUCUGCUUUUUUAAAGUACAUAAUUCUCUCUGUUGCUACUGUGAUUCAUAUCAAAAAGGGCACAGAACAGGAGCAACUGCUGCUAUCUGGAGAACAAGUGUGGUGCAUGUUACUAAGCUCUUCUCCCUUGCUUGCAGAACAAUUCUUGCAAUUCUUUUUCUCCUGAAUGUUGCUCUGUAAAAUGCCUUUGUUAUGCUGCAAAUCUGAAAGAGUCCAAAGUAGGUAAUUGUCAUGAUCGCUCGUGCAGUUUCCACAUUUUUGGGCUUGCAUCACCGGUUUCAGCUGAAUCUGUAAGUGUGGGGCCCUGUUGUAUUCUCUUUUUCAGUGGGAGCAGAAUCAUUUUGUCACACUUCCAAUUCUGUAGUCACAUCAAAUGUACAGUCGUUCCCUGUACAGAUUCCUUUUUAGCUGAGAAUAUUUGUGUUGCCUUGUAUUAUCUUGGGGGGGAGGGAGGGAAUGAGGAAUUACAGCACCUGCAAUACCCCGACAGUGGUGUUGCCUGCAGGCCCACGUUCCCAAGGUUUUAAAUUCCUGCUGUCUUCUAAAAGUAAAGCUUUUUUCAUUUGCAUUGAUUUAAAGUUUACUGUUGGCUUCAUGCCUACAGAAACUCACCUGUAAUAAUGUAAAGGGAGUAGGUAAGUGUUUUGGUGUCCUGUGCUCCGAGGUCAUAGAUAGCCUUUGGCUUGGGAAUUAAGUAGGUGAAUAUUGUAAACAUAAAUCUCUUUACAACUUAAGCUCAGUUUUGGUCGUUCAUAUUUCUAGUUUGGUUACUUUUUUGGGUUUUUUUGUUUUGUGUUUUUUUUUUUUUUAAAAAAAAACCUUAAUUUUCUGUAUUCAGAUGCAAGUAGCUGGUUUGAAGACCCAGCAGUUAUCCCUGCCAUCCUGCACUUAGGCCCAGUGUCUGAAAAGCAACCCGCUAGUGAUCACACUGGUGUGUGGUUUUGCAGGCAAGAGUGUGUUGCUGCUUCCAUGAGCACAGUAGAGCAGCAAUACCCUGGAUUAUUUGAAGAACUGAUACGAGGUCAGCCUUAGAUCCUAGUUUGGCAUUCUUGGUGUCCAUAAAUCUCUUCUGAAAGGCUACAGGAGGUUUUCUGGUAUCAGAACCUGUAAUAUAGGCCAAGCCUAGAAUGACCCUGGAAGCAUGAAAGUGAUGCUUGGGUUUGCAAACACCUGUGGAGACUCACCUGUGUCAGCUUUCUGUCGCCAGCUAUGUUGGUCAGCUGGCGAUGACCAUGCUGUAGAUGUAGUUCUAGUCAUAGGCAACACCUUUGUUUCAAGAAUGUUCUCACAGAGGUCCUGAGUCAUUGUGCUUCAGAAGGGGAAAAUAAACACCAAACAAGUCCUGUGUCUUGAUCAAGGAACACCACGCUCGUCCACAAGAAGCAAUAACUUAAAUUGCGGUGCGAUAUGCUUCUUUGUCUGUAAAUAUCUUGAGAUUGCCAAUUCUGUGCUGUUUCAGAGUAUUUUCUGUCAUCUGGCCUAUGUCUUCCCUAAGUAUGUAAGAGUGUGAAAUAAUUCCCAUACUCAGGUCUGCCAUAAACAUGCUGCUUGCCAGAGGGGAAGAGUAGACUCAACACUGUCUUGAAAUGUGGGAUUUUCUGAAUUUGUAACGUAUCCGCGUAUUUUGAGUAGUAACUUGAGUUUCGAAGUUUGUAGUGGAGGUAGCUAUGAGUUGGAUUGUAUAUAGCCCUACUGCAUCCAAUACCAAGAGAAACACGCUACUGUCAGCACAGGGCACCCAUUGUCCUGUCUCUUAUAAAGCAGCAUAUAUAAAAUAACACUUGCCUUUUGAAGGAGGUAGCUAAUUUUCAUUCAAUGUGUACAUUCAGUGGUGAGUUCAGUGAGACAUAAAAGCAAAAAUACAGAGCACGCUGCAGAUUUGUGGUAUUUUAGUUUGGGGAAGAAUAAAGCAGAAAACAGACCGUCUUAUUAGUAAUUAAUUUUACUUUCAUAUUCAAGGGUAAGUGUACCGCAGUAUUUUGAAAUGGAACAUGUAGGUAAUGUACAAAGAUAUGGGUGUAUACUUGUGACCUUUUUUCUCCCCUACUCCUCACUCUUUAUGAUGCAAAGGAGGUUUUUUGACUUAAUCUUGAGAUUUAUACAUUUAUCCUACUUCUUAAUGCUAGGAGCACUGACUUCUUAGUUAAGUGUUUGCUGAAAGUCUGGAGAGCUGGUAAAACUGACUCCCAGAAGACUAAAAUCUCAGCACAUGUGGGAAAGAUAAUUUUUAUGCAGAAAUGUGGGUCCUCGGUGUUUCUGGUUGGAUAAUGUCUAAUACGUAAGAUGUGCUUAUGGAUGCUUUUAGUAUGUCGCCUUUUCCAUGUGAGGGCUUCAGAAACUUGCUGCGUUUCUCCCGCGUCCCACCAAAAGCAGGGAACGUGGCACCUGAAUGUCACCGCUAUCUGUACGUAAACAGCAACAAAGCACACAUUGCUUUUGAAGUAGGCCAUGAUCUCUCUGAGUUUCUGUGAAUCUUAGCUGCUUUUCCAUAUUGAAAGAGAAUAUUUGUGUGCAAAUCCGGUAUUGCUUUUUUGUACCUGAUUUUGCUGUACAGUUGGGAGUCUCCUGCCGAGAGACGACCUGAUACUUGGGAAUGAAGAAGUGCUACUAUGAAUCUUCCAGCUCAUCUUUGCCAGAGGAGGAUUAUCUCAUUAGGCCAUAUCCCCUUAAUUUUUUAACAUUUGGACGGGCUUUCCAUUGGCAUCGGCAAAAGUAACGUCAGAGGUUGUAGCUGAAAGAGGGGAUUUUGUUAGGGGUUUGCUUCAACCCAGCCAAAACCGCUUUUUCCUGCAGCGGUGUCAUCAGCUUGUACCACUUCUUGUUGUUCCAAAUACUCUUAAUAUGAGAAAUUAGUUAUAGAACCGUGUCCAGAUUUUGUCUUCUAAAUGUAAAACUUCUGUGAUGUUUCUCCAUAUAAAUUAACCUGCUUCUGAAGUCAGGUUGAAGGUGUUUUAGCCCUUAAGGGGAAAAAAGAAAAAGAUAAUCCUUUCUCUCAAGUUGUCUCAAGUUGCAUUUGUUUAUCUGACUGGGCAGCUCAGCUGGCUUCCCACGCUGCUGCAUCGUGUUCUGUAAAGUCAUUUCUCAAUUAAGUACAUCAGAGCUGAUGACGGGAUAAACCAUAAAAUGACCUGACUGUGGGGCAUUAUUAGUUGCUGUAGAUUUGCUCAGGUAAACAACCGCAGGAAUAGCCGGCACCUGAAAAAGGCUGGAUUUGGCUCUGUCUUGGAUCUAAGAAGGUGCUGGUGCACAAGAAGCAGAGGGCAGCGAGCCCGCUAGCUGAUCCUUCUGGCAGCUUUUAAUCUCUGUAUGUUUGUUUGAGAGACUUUUGCCCUUGGGUGUGCUUUGGCAAAGAUUUUGCAACGAUAAGUAGGAUUUGCUUGAUUCUGGCAGAGUUUCAAGUCUAAGUAACCCAACGUUGCAAGAAUCUAAUCUGUUGCUGAAGCCUGUUCCUCCUGUUUUCCCUCAAGUCUAUCCCUUUCAUUGCUAAUUUGUUACAUUUAAUAGUAAACACUUCUCAACACGCCUGGUCACAAGCUCUCAAGGUGUGAAAUGCUAACCGGAGACAUCAAAGGGUGAUUCUGUGCUCUUCCUGUAUAUAUUAAGAUGAAGCUGAAGUAUUUGUUAUCGUACAGUCAAGAAUUCUCUCUCCUAACUGAUAUUGCCAAAGCACUAUAACUUUCAAGGAAGAAGGGAGGUGGCUUAGCUGUAGAGGGGAUGUUUUAAUAAACUACUUGAUUUUAAAAGCUGCAGCAUCAGUGCUGAAUGAGUGGUGAUCCGGAAUUAACCUCAUCACUUGAUUGCAAAUCUCAUUCUGGCUCUUCCUGCCCUUUGGCAGGUACCCGCUGGUAGGGAGCAGAGUGGAUAUUCCCCCUUUUUAUUGGAUGCCUCUGCCCACAGAGCUAACCCUGCCCACAAGGAGUUAGAGGGAACUCCAUGCUAGCUUCUGAAAUGCCACCCAUAUGCGCAGUGGUAAUGGACAAGACGUCUUCCUUCAUUACCCAGAGCAGAAAUCAGAAUGUAAUUUGCAAUGUCUAAUGUAAAACAUGUUUGUAUUUUUUUUUAAUUGAGCGGUAUGAUUGCAAGUUGACUUAAGUUGUCCUAAGGUACUCUUUUCAGUGGUUUGCCAGUACAUAGUCAUGAAUGAAAAUAUUUUUUUAUUGAUUUUUAGGUUGUAUGUUUAACAUUCCAUUCAUGUAAAAUAUGUACAAAUAUAUGUAAUAAAUCUUUUGAAGCACA